Molecule: ribosomal RNA, 501 nt
Filed under: Inocybe sp. TO-2011
Lineage: Eukaryota; Fungi; Basidiomycota; Agaricomycetes; Agaricales; Inocybaceae
Description: eukaryotic LSU rRNA
Rfam family: 5.8S ribosomal RNA (bases 182-335)
Source: RNAcentral
GGAAGGAUCAUUAUCGAAAUAAAUCUGAACAGGCUGUUGCUGGUCGGAAGACAUGUGCACGCUUGUCCUCUUUAUUUUUCCAACUGUGCACAUAUUGUAGACCUUUUUGAGGGAAUGAUGGCCAAGGUCUAUGUUACAUUUAACAACUUGUUGUAGAAUGGGGGAUAUGAAACAAAUAUACAACUUUCAGCAACGGAUCUCUUGGCUCUCGCAUCGAUGAAGAACGCAGCGAAAUGCGAUAAGUAAUGUGAAUUGCAGAAUUCAGUGAAUCAUCGAAUCUUUGAACGCAUCUUGCGCUCCUUGGUAUUCCGAGGAGCAUGCCUGUUUGAGUGUCAUCAAGUUCUCAACCAUACCUCGGUGUGGCUUGGAUCUGGGGGUUUUUGCAGGCUUCAAAGAAAGUCGGCUCCCCUGAAAAGCAUUAGCGGUGUCCGAGUACCUUUGGUGUGAUAACUAUCUAUGCCUUGGUGUAUACGAUGCAUGCUGCUUCUGAACUUCAUCUUU